UACGUAGGUGACAAGCGUUGUCCGGAAUUAUUGGGCGUAAAGCGCGCGCAGGUGGUUUCUUAAGUCUGAUGUGAAAGCCCACGGCUCAACCGUGGAGGGUCAUUGGAAACUGGGGAACUUGAGUGCAGGAGAGAAGAGUGGAAUUCCACGUGUAGCGGUGAAAUGCGUAGAGAUGUGGAGGAACACCAGUGGCGAAGGCGACUCUUUGGCCUGUAACUGACACUGAGGCGCGAAAGCGUGGGGAGCAAACAGG
RNAcentral lists this ribosomal RNA (253 nucleotides) under uncultured bacterium. RNAcentral describes it as "partial 16S ribosomal RNA". It matches the Rfam family "Bacterial small subunit ribosomal RNA", at positions 524 to 776 of the family's 1533-position model. The record is from RNAcentral.